This 350-nucleotide unclassified non-coding RNA is filed under the name soil metagenome. Its description in RNAcentral is "partial contains 5.8S ribosomal RNA, internal transcribed spacer 2, and large subunit ribosomal RNA". The stretch from base 1 to 120 matches the Rfam family "5.8S ribosomal RNA", at positions 35 to 154 of the family's 154-position model. The record is from RNAcentral.
GAUGAAGAACGCAGUGAACUGCGAUAAGUAAUGUGAAUUGCAGAAUUCAGUGAAUCAUUGAGUCUUUGAACGCACAUUGCGCCCCCUGGCAUUCCGGGGGGCAUGCCUGUCCGAGCGUCAUUGCUGCCCUUCAAGCCCGGCUUGUGUGUUGGGUCGUCGUCCCCCCCGGGGGACGGGCCCGAAAGGCAGCGGCGGCACCGCGUCCGGUCCUCGAGCGUAUGGGGCUUUGUCACCCGCUCGAUUAGGGCCGGCCGGGCGCCAGCCGGCGUCUCCAACCUUCUAUUUUACCAGGUUGACCUCGGAUCAGGUAGGGAUACCCGCUGAACUUAAGCAUAUCAAUAAGCGGAGGA